Non-coding RNA from Microcebus murinus (gray mouse lemur), 821 nucleotides. The record is from RefSeq and is a predicted model, not a curated record. Lineage: Eukaryota; Metazoa; Chordata; Mammalia; Primates; Cheirogaleidae.
CUCCCUGGAGAAGCCAAGCAGGCCUCUGCACGGCCCUUGUAGGCGAGGCCCGGAGCCAGACCCGCUCCCACCCACCAGUGCCGGUCCCAGGGCCCCGCCAUCUCUGACCAAGCUGCCUCCCGCCGCUGGCCUGAGCCUGAGUCCCCCACUUUCUGGUCCAGCUAGCACCGAGAGUUAAGGUUUUAUCUCUAGAAGUCGCCUAUUAAUGCAUGCUGAGCACACCCAGUAAUGGGGCCUGACCUGCUAGAGAAGACAGAGCCUUCGAGGAACUUGACAAAGGUUAAGGACCCUCAGCCGCUGACGACAGCACAGGCACACGGGACUUUAAUGUCGUUGAAAGAAGUCUAUGGACCCUCGAGAAAUACACCUUGCCCGGGGGAUGCUGGGCCUUGGGGUUUGCAGCACAGACAAACGCAUCCCUGCCCUCGAAGAUCUCUUUGUCCGAGGAAGAGUUUUCCAUGGAUCAGAAACAGCUGAGCACCUACUGUGAGACGGGGUGACAGAGGUGACCACACGGCCUCGUCACAGCCACCCUGCACAGGGGGUGUUCUCCCACCCUACCGAUGGAGGGACUCGGGCUUGGACAGGGCCUGGCCCGGCGUUCUCCCCUCCUGCACCUGCUCUUUCCCUGCAGAAAGCCAGAUGUCUGCGCGGCUGGCUCAGAGCUGCCCCCGGGAGCCCGCCCCGCCCUCCGCCCCACGGCACACGCGGGGUGGAUGCGUCCAGCGCCCUGUCCCUGCGCCCGGCUCCCUGCACCGGCCGUCAAGCUGGUGUUCACACCUCGGUCUCGCCUUCCAAAUAAAAUUCUUUAAGAACACAAA